This 68-nucleotide transfer RNA is filed under the name Hamamelistes spinosus. RNAcentral describes it as "tRNA-Phe". The record is from RNAcentral. RNAcentral also lists the same sequence under 1 other name. Lineage: Eukaryota; Metazoa; Arthropoda; Insecta; Hemiptera; Hormaphididae.
AUUUAAAUAGCUUAAAAUUUAGAGCAUUAUAUUGAAGAUAUAAGGGUAAUUGUGUAUAUUUUUAAAUA